RNAcentral lists this ribosomal RNA (256 nucleotides) under uncultured soil bacterium. RNAcentral's name for it is "partial 16S ribosomal RNA". It matches the Rfam family "Bacterial small subunit ribosomal RNA", at positions 26 to 288 of the family's 1533-position model. The record is from RNAcentral.
AGGACGAACGCUGGCGGCGUGCUUAACACAUGCAAGUCGAGCGGAAAGGCCCUUCGGGGUACUCGAGCGGCGAACGGGUGAGUAACACGUGGGCAACCUGCCCCUAGCUCUGGGGUAACUCCGGGAAACCGGGCUAAUACCGGAUACGAUCUUCCAUGGCAUCUCGGAAGAUGGAAAGUUUUUCGGCUAGGGAUGGGCCCGCGGCCUAUCAGCUUGUUGGUGAGGUAACGGCCCACCAAGGCGACGACGGGUAGCC